This 561-nucleotide ribosomal RNA is filed under the name uncultured bacterium. RNAcentral's name for it is "bacterial SSU rRNA". It matches the Rfam family "Bacterial small subunit ribosomal RNA", at positions 324 to 883 of the family's 1533-position model. The record is from RNAcentral.
ACACGGUCCAAACUCCUACGGGAGGCAGCAGUGAGGAAUAUUGGUCAAUGGGCGAGAGCCUGAACCAGCCAAGUAGCGUGAAGGAUGACGGCCCUACGGGUUGUAAACUUCUUUUGUGCGGGAAUAAAGGAGCCUACGUGUAGGCUUUUGCAUGUACCGUAACGAAUAAGCAUCGGCUAACUCCGUGCCAGCAGCCGCGGUAAUACGGAGGAUGCGAGCGUUAUCCGGAUUUAUUGGGUUUAAAGGGAGCGUAGGCGGGUUUUUAAGUCAGCUGUGAAAGUUUGGGGCUCAACCUUAAAAUUGCAGUUGAUACUGGAGACCUUGAGUACGGUUGAGGCAGGCGGAAUUCGUGGUGUAGCGGUGAAAUGCUUAGAUAUCACGAAGAACCCCGAUUGCGAAGGCAGCCUGCUAAGCCGCCACUGACGUUGAGGCUCGAAAGUGCGGGUAUCAAACAGGAUUAGAUACCCUGGUAGUCCGACACGGUAAACGAUGGAUACUCGCUGUUGGCGAUAGACGGUCAGCGGCCAAGCGAAAGCGUUAAGUAUCCCACCUGGGGAGUAC